AGUGAACGCUGGCGGUAGGCCUAACACAUGCAAGUCGAACGGCAGCACAGUAAGAGCUUGCUCUUACGGGUGGCGAGUGGCGGACGGGUGAGGAAUACAUCGGAAUCUACUUUUUCGGGGGGGAUAACGUAGGGAAACUUACGCUAAUACCGCAUACGACCUACGGGUGAAAGCAGGGGAUCUUCGGACCUUGCGCGAUUGAAUGAGCCGAUGUCGGAUUAGCUAGUUGGCGGGGUAAAGGCCCACCAAGGCGACGAUCCGUAGCUGGUCUGAGAGGAUGAUCAGCCACACUGGAACUGAGACACGGUCCAGACUCCUACGGGAGGCAGCAGUGGGGAAUAUUGGACAAUGGGCGCAAGCCUGAUGCAGCCAUACCGCGUGGGUGAAGAAGGCCUUCGGGUUGUAAAGCCCUUUUGUUGGGAAAGAAAAGCAGCAGGUUAAUACCCCGCUGUUCUGACGGUACCCAAAGAAUAAGCACCGGCUAACUUCGUG
RNAcentral lists this ribosomal RNA (492 nucleotides) under uncultured bacterium. RNAcentral describes it as "partial 16S ribosomal RNA". It matches the Rfam family "Bacterial small subunit ribosomal RNA", at positions 29 to 507 of the family's 1533-position model. The record is from RNAcentral.